RNAcentral lists this ribosomal RNA (288 nucleotides) under Legionella wadsworthii. RNAcentral describes it as "partial 16S ribosomal RNA". It matches the Rfam family "Bacterial small subunit ribosomal RNA", at positions 491 to 778 of the family's 1533-position model. Lineage: Bacteria; Pseudomonadati; Pseudomonadota; Gammaproteobacteria; Legionellales; Legionellaceae. The record is from RNAcentral.
CACCGGCUAACUCCGUGCCAGCAGCCGCGGUAAUACGGAGGGUGCAAGCGUUAAUCGGAAUUACUGGGCGUAAAGCGUGCGUAGGUGGUUGAUUAAGUUAUCUGUGAAAUCCCCGGGCUUAACCUGGGCAGGUCAGAUAAUACUGGUUGACUCGAGUAUGGGAGAGGGUAGUGGAAUUUCCGGUGUAGCGGUGAAAUGCGUAGAGAUCGGAAGGAACACCAGUGGCGAAGGCGGCUACCUGGCCUAAUACUGACACUGAGGCACGAAAGCGUGGGGAGCAAACAGGAU